Molecule: ribosomal RNA, 483 nt
Filed under: uncultured bacterium
Lineage: Bacteria
Description: partial 16S ribosomal RNA
Rfam family: Bacterial small subunit ribosomal RNA
Source: RNAcentral
AUUGAACGCUGGCGGCAGGCCUAACACAUGCCAGUCGAGCGGAUGAAGGGAGCUUGCUCCUGGAUUCAGCGGCGGACGGGUGAGUAAUGCCUAGGAAUCUGCCUGGUAGUGGGGAUAACGUCCGGAAACGGGCGCUAAUACCGCAUACGUCCUGAGGGAGAAAGUGGGGGAUCUUCGGACCUCACGCUAUCAGAUGAGCCUAGGUCGGAUUAGCUAGUUGGUGGGGUAAAGGCCUACCAAGGCGACGAUCCGUAACUGGUCUGAGAGGAUGAUCAGUCACACUGGAACUGAGACACGGUCCAGACUCCUACGGGAGGCAGCAGUGGGGAAUAUUGGACGAUGGGCGAAAGCCUGAUCCAGCCAUGCCGCGUGUGUGAAGAAGGUCUUCGGAUUGUAAAGCACUUUAAGUUGGGAGGAAGGGCAGUAAGUUAAUACCUUGCUGUUUUGACGUUACCAACAGAAUAAGCACCGGCUAACUUCGUG